UUGCUUUGACAGCACAUAUACUAAAAUUGGAAAGAUACAGACAAGAUUAGUAUGGCCCUGGCACAAAGAUGACAUGCAAAUUCAUGAAGCAUUCCAUAUUUUU
RNAcentral lists this small nuclear RNA (103 nucleotides) under Notamacropus eugenii (tammar wallaby). The record is from RNAcentral. Lineage: Eukaryota; Metazoa; Chordata; Mammalia; Diprotodontia; Macropodidae.